Molecule: long non-coding RNA, 586 nt
Organism: Dipodomys spectabilis (banner-tailed kangaroo rat)
Lineage: Eukaryota; Metazoa; Chordata; Mammalia; Rodentia; Heteromyidae
Exons: 2
Source: RefSeq, a predicted model, not a curated record
CGAACGCCAUCUUGGCUGCUUGUCUGUCACUGCCUGUGAUCCCUCAGCCAGAGAAGUCUCUUCGUUUCCCCGUUGGUUCCCUUUCGGGCCCUCUUCAGAGCCCGCAGGAAUGUCAGAUCCUAGUCGGAGCGGAUACACACGUCCUGGAGAGGUACAGACAAGUGAAUACAGAAGACACCCAGCAUUUGUGUGUUUACUGGGACUUGAACUCAGGUACUCAGGAGCCAGGGAGCUUUGUCUCCCAUCCAAGACACAGUUCUGACCAAUGAAUUCAGCAAACAUUUAAUAAAUGUCUCCUAUGCUGCAGCCAGCAGAAUAGACUGGAGCAGUCACGGUGCAAUGACAGUGCCUAGUAGGCAGAACUGUACGGCAUACUAUAUUGAAUAAAUCACGGGUGAGGGAGGAAUGGAGAGGGCAUGGUUAAUGGAGACCAGAGUACGGAUGGAUGGAAUAACUUCUGAUGUUAGAUGAGCACACUGUUGACAACAAUGAAUUUAACAGUGCAGAAUAAGUUUUUAGAGAGGAUUUCAAAUGUUCUCAAUGCAAGGCAACGAUAUAAAACAAUAAGGCAAUUACUCUGACCUAA